UGAAUAUUCCAGAUGCAAUUUCAGGAAGAUGGAGAUGGAGGAGAAGAAAUAGACGUGACAUCUGACAGAAGAACGCUUGUUGGGGACUUGAUCUUGGAGAGACAUCACACCUGUUCUUCAGCCCUAACCUGCUGAGCUGGUCUCGGGAUCUGGCACAGCUACCCACAAUCAGGAGGAAACUACAAACCCAGAGCCUGUCCCUGAGGAGCCAAAGCUUUAAACCCCACAUCAGACCCUGAAACUUUUAAGACCUGCACUUGAAAGAUAAACCCCCAAAACUUGAAG
RNAcentral lists this long non-coding RNA (285 nucleotides) under Sus scrofa (pig). Its description in RNAcentral is "lncRNA (ENSSSCG00030050513.1)". The record is from RNAcentral. Lineage: Eukaryota; Metazoa; Chordata; Mammalia; Artiodactyla; Suidae.